RNAcentral lists this ribosomal RNA (255 nucleotides) under uncultured bacterium. Its description in RNAcentral is "partial 16S ribosomal RNA". It matches the Rfam family "Bacterial small subunit ribosomal RNA", at positions 524 to 776 of the family's 1533-position model. The record is from RNAcentral.
UACAGAGGGUGCGAGCGUUAAUCGGAAUUACUGGGCGUAAAGCGUGCGUAGACGGUAGCGUAAGUCAGAUGUGAAAGCCCCGGGCUCAACCUGGGAAUGGCAUUUGAGACCUGCUCUGCUCGGGUGCGGAAGAGGGAAGCGGAAUUUCCGGUGUAGCGGUGAAAUGCGUAGAUAUCGGAAGGAACACCAGUGGCGAAAGCGGCUUCCUGGUCCGACACCGACGUUCAGGCACGAAAGCGUGGGGGAGCAAACAGG